This 201-nucleotide unclassified non-coding RNA is filed under the name Hevea brasiliensis (rubber tree). The record is from RNAcentral. Lineage: Eukaryota; Viridiplantae; Streptophyta; Magnoliopsida; Malpighiales; Euphorbiaceae.
UAAAAAUCAAAGAACAGAUCUACGUAAAUAACAACCAGAUCUACCGCAUGGGAUUGAAAGGAAGCAUAGAUCAGCUAAAAACUUCGGCCUAGUUACCCAGAAACCGUGGGAAAACAGAUUUUCCCGUGUUUUCCCGGAAAGAAAAUAGAAACAGAGAGACAACAAGACAGCUAAAUGGAUAAAGACAAAAAAAUAUCGCAG